UUAAAUAAAAUAGGCAACCAGGCACAAGGUUGCCUCGCACCUUGUGCCUGCCCCCCUAAUAAAACUAACAAUUACAAUAAGUUGCCUUGCACUUUGUGCUUGGCCCCCCUAACUAGCCUUCAAGUGCAAAGCGAAGCUCAGGCCACCUAAGCUCUGUCCAGUAAUCAAGCCUAUUGUUCUCACCUGGUGACCUCAUUAGAUCAGUUACAGUACUUACAGUGUUUUUCCAUUCCAUUUACUUGCAGAUUGAAGAUGGCUAGUUGUGCACGUACACCCGGAGUCGGCCAGGAAAUGAUCGUCAUUCAGGGCUACCUCCAUAACGUGUUCCCAGUGACGAUUUCAGAUAAAAAAAAUAUUUUUUUCAAUUGCACCUUGCAGACGUCCCGAGACAUAUAUAGAACAGCCGUCGUGUUUUCAGCAGACAAGCAUGAAAGCUUUCAGCAGGCCGCUGACAACCACACGCCCUUGAAGCUAAGCAAUGUCAAGAGAAGUACGAGUAAUGGAGGAGCUUUCUACGUUAUAAAUUUUCAGUCCAAGCUGAGGCUGUUGAAUUCCAUUGACUUUGACUAUAAUAAGGAACCCACAUUUACUGUAAAGCAGGUGUUUGCCCUCAAACCUAAACAGAAAGUUGGAAAGAUCGAGGCGAAGGUUGUGUGGCUGGAGAACUCCAGUAAAAUGGUCAAGGUCCAUGGCAAAAUGCUGCAGCUCAAGGAUUGCCAUGUUGCUGACCACACGAGCAAGAUUAAGCUGCAACUCUGGGGUGGACUUAUUGGCCAAGUGAAGCAGGACGAGUCCUACGUCUUGAAGGACCUGUCGGUCCGUGGAAAUGGAGAGUUGUAUCUGACGUCUACAAAGAACACCACCAUCCGGAUCUCAGGAGGAGAAGCAGGAGAGGAGCAGGUGGUGAAGCAGGAGGAGGAGGAGGAGCAGGUGCUGAAGCAGGAGGAGGAGGAGGAGGAAAAGGAGGAGGAGGUGCUGAAGGAGCUGAAGCAGGAGGAGGAGGAGGAGCAGGAGGUGAAGCAGGUGCUGAAGCCGGAGGAGGAGGAGGAGCAGGACUUGGUGCAGGAGUUGAAGCAGGAGAUGAUCACCACGGUGCGGGGACCAGUCUGUGGCAUCCAACUAGCUGCCCAACGGCAGUGCAGCCAUUGCCACAAAGGGCAGCUGGCCUUCAACCUAACGGACAUAAACCAUCGCUGCGAGGCCUGUGGCUUCUAUCAGAAGGUCGGGUCAUAUGUAAAGGCUGCCACCGGGAAAGUCAUGGUCAAUAAGGGGGAUGUGAAACUCUCGUUGAAAUUGACCUCGACUGUCCUGAUGACAUACCUGAGUCAAAACAACCUCCAGGAGCUGCUUGCAGAUGUGCAGUUGGUGGAGGGGCACUUUUUGGAAGUGGGGUUGUUUGUUAUCCAAUACAAUGCCAACAAUGAGGUUGUCGUUGUCACAACAGGGGAUGUUUGA
RNAcentral lists this long non-coding RNA (1455 nucleotides) under Gadus morhua (Atlantic cod). RNAcentral's name for it is "lncRNA (ENSGMOG00000029449.1)". Lineage: Eukaryota; Metazoa; Chordata; Actinopteri; Gadiformes; Gadidae. The record is from RNAcentral.